AAAUGACCUAAUGGUGAUUUCCUAUCUCUAAUUUACAUGAUAAUUUGAAUCUGAAAACAUUGGAAAAUAAUGAACCUGACUCUCCGAAUAGCAGGAGGGCAAGUGGGCCAUAGUCCCUGGCAUCUCUCUGCAGCUUUCUGUGGAGGGAGGAGAACUUCCGUGCAAUUCCGCAGCACUCCCCAAGAGGCUGCUGGUUUGUGGCUCAAACCUAGAUACAGCCAGGUUGCCCAGAAGAGGAUCACAAUAUCCCAGUCCUGGGAACCACCGAUCCUUCAGAGGAGGCAGCAGUAUCAUAUCACAGAUGUAAAAAUGAUGGAACAAAGGCUCUGAACAAAAGAAGACCUGGAGAAGAGGAGAAAGGAGGCUGUUUCAGUCCUCUUAGGAUAAUAAAUUGUCAGGAAAAUGUCUGAUUAAGGAAAAAACACAGGAUCCUAUAGUGAUACUUGGUGGGACACUAAUACAUAAAGAAUGCAAAGUUUAUGUUUUAUACAGUCGUAACAUCCUGAUUAUGGUAUACAAGUAAUAUAUGAUUGAGGCUGCUAAGAUAAACUUCUAGAGGUAAGAGAAAACUGCUGAGAGGAUUUUUAUUAGAAAGUUUGUUCUGAAUUUUUGUGCAGACUUCAAAAU
RNAcentral lists this long non-coding RNA (627 nucleotides) under Homo sapiens (human). RNAcentral describes it as "non-protein coding lnc-HS3ST3B1-13:1". The record is from RNAcentral. Lineage: Eukaryota; Metazoa; Chordata; Mammalia; Primates; Hominidae.